CGGCCCAUAAACAGGCGCCUAUCUUGCUUAGGGUCCGAAUAUUUUCGUGUAUGUGUACCAAUUGAAUGACUAGUUACUGCAAUGUGUUAGUAAGGCAGUGUCCAACCUCAGUUGUUAAAGUUAGUCUUUGUUUUAUCCAGGAGAAGGGAAAUGACUACCCAAGGAAUUGCCGACGUGGUCAGGCAACUAGCUGAAGUAGUGCAGAACUUAGCACAGAAUAGGAAUAACCAGGGAGUUGAUCCAGCUGGUGAGAUGUUUAAGAAGGUGGCCCAAAGUAAGCCUCCUUUGUACCAAGGGGAGAUAGACCCAACUGUACUUGAGAACUGGCUAUGGGAGUUCGAUAAGCUUAUCGUAGCUGUCAAUAGCCCAGAGGAACUUAGGGUCAAUAGUGCUGUUUAUUACCUUAGGGGAGAAGCCGAUUUAUGGUGGCAAAGAUGUGAGAAUGCUUUGAGAGCUACACCUGGAUUUGGAUGGGAAUCAUUCAAGGAAGCCUUAAGGAACAAGUUUUACCCACCAUACCUGAAGAAGCAGAAAGCUCAAGAGUUCAUCGAAUUGAAGAUGGAUGGUAUGUCUGUGACAGAGUACUAUUCUAAGUUCAUAGAGUUGUCUAGGUUUGCACCGGAAGUCACUAGAGGAAAAAUGCUUAUAAGUUGCUCAUCAAAAGUUGCCCUUAUUAAACAAGGGCAACCUUUAUAAACAAAAAAAUUAUAAAAAUAAAAAUAAAUUAAAAUCUCAACUUUCCCUCAAAACAAACGCAACCUUUAACCUAGGCUAAAAAAAAAAAAGAACAAACACUGCUCUCCUUCAUUGCUCGAUCACACACUCGCUCCCUGCAACCAGACGAUGCCAUCUCCCUGCUGAGUGCUGACCGGCGAAGCCACCGACGCUCUCAUCCUUCUCAGGUGACCGGCGAAACCACACUCACACAUUCACACCCUCUCUCCUCCUUCUCAGGCGAAACCACCAUCGGAACUCCGUCAUCCCCCACGCACCAGCCGUCUGCCGGCAUCAAAAGGGCUUUUCUUCAUUUCCGUUUCUCUCACCUCAAGUGAUGUAACAUCUACAGGAACUAGUGACCAAAGUGGUCUUGAUCGUGAUAAAGAUGGAGCCUAUGUAUGCGAUCCAUUAACUUGAAAAGCGAAAGGAUUUUAAUUGCAGAGUCUGAAACUGCUAUUGAGAAGGGAAAGUCAACUUUGGUAAAGAAGAAAUUAAGAAGAAGGAAAAUCAACUUGAAAACAUGUCUUUGAAGCUUGAGGAAAUGGAAAGCUUUGCUUUUGGAACUAACUGUAUAUUAAGUGAGCUGCGACAGCGGGUUAAAGACUUGGUUGACGAGACAUCUAGGCUAGAGCUGCGGAAAACGAGCAGGAACUUUCUCGUGUAAAGCGUGAUUUUGAGUCUCUGAAAUCAUAUGUCAGCAGUCUCAUCAGUGUAAGAGAAACACUCAUUUCGCCUGGGAAACAAUUCCAAACUAUUGAAAAGCUCUUUGAAAGAUGGAUUGUUCAUUUCUGAAUUGGCAGACCCGUAGUGACGCAAGAGAAUAACUAGACUUGUUACUAAACAUUUAUUAAGCACUCGAAGGUUGCAGUUCAACUGAGGCUUUCUCCCUGUCCAUUUUUUGCUGAGAGCCUCAACAGACUGUUACAAUGGUGUAUUGGUGACUGGAAUUAUAAAAUUAUAAUUGCUUCCACUAUAGCAUUGAUAGUCCUAGGAAACUACGUUGAGCAGCUUGGUAUUGUGCGUAUCGUAGAGACCCAGAAAAAUACAACGUUUCCUGGUUUGCAGCCUAAUGGCAAUGCUCCAAUCUCUUGCAAAGAUAAGCCUGUAACACCACAAGAUCAGGCCAACGGUACAAUUAAUGCAGAGUUCUCGACUCCAAGGCGGCUAACAACAGAAGAGAUACCUUCAAUUGUGAAUGAUUUUAGACUAGCUGCUAGGAAUGCCAUAGAAGCUGGUUUUCACAAAUCCAAGGGAGAGGCCCUUCACCAAAGAGGAGUUGGAUGAAGUUCGAGACAAGUGGGCUACUUACUUCAACGAUUGUGAAUUACCCUCAGUGUAAUAAUUAGAGCAGGCUUGUAGUUUUUCGUGACUCUUACAUUAUUUUGUUAUUUAUCGAUUUAAUUAAUUACAUUUGAAUUAAUUCGGAAAUAUUAUUGGAAAUUUGAAAUUUAUAUCAUUUUUGAGGAAUGUCAAGAUGAUGUUUGGUGAAA
This is an RNA transcript of Spinacia oleracea (spinach), 2207 nucleotides long. It is a transcript of the gene named 12-oxophytodienoate reductase 1-like, with no coding region annotated. Lineage: Eukaryota; Viridiplantae; Streptophyta; Magnoliopsida; Caryophyllales; Amaranthaceae. The record is from RefSeq and is a predicted model, not a curated record. The transcript has 6 exons.